UUUUACAUUAAAAUCUGAUAAAACUUCUCUAGUUUUAAUUGUUUUGUAAGAAAUGUUACUUUAUCUAUUCCCAAGUGAUUUAUUCAAAGAUUCAUGUCCAGGAGUAAGCGUCAGCGCAUCACCGCUCAGUUGGCACAAGGGCAAGUCUACAGUGAGUGGGUGAGAGCGCUCUUGAGUGGGCGAGCAAGAAAGAGUAGAAGAGGGGAGGCAGAGAGGUACCGAAGAUUCUGACGUUCUCUGUUGCACAAAACCGCACUGCUUGCUCUGACUGCACUGUCCAUGCUGCUGUAUCCUAGACUGUCUGCUUGAGACGGAGUCCGUUUACUCCACUCUACACCCGACUCUUCUGUCUUUGGCGCAUCCUUUUAGUUUCUCUUUAAAACCUUUGAUCGAAUGAAGUGUUUUUCCAAGGAAAGAGACCGUUGAAACUGCCAGUAUAACCGGUUAUAAAAACGUGAAGAAGUCACUUGUUUGAAUAACUCUCUCCCCACUGCACGUACUCAACAUGAGCGAGCUCAGAUCCACUGGGAACCCCAACAGCAGCCAGGCGCCUGCUUCAGACAACAAAGAGAAGGCGGUUGACUCCAAGGCCCCAGCGACUGGGGAGGAGGAAGAGGAAGUGGACAUCGACUUGGAAGCGCCAGAGACGGAGAAAGCAGCGCUCGCCAUCCAGAACCAGUUCAGACGCUUCAAGAAGAACAAGAAGUAGUGACAGAAGGAGAAGAAAGAAAGACAAAAAAGAAGAAAAAAAAGAGAAAAAACUUUCUGCAGAACAGAUAAAUAGUGAUGGAGGAGGACGGGUGGUGUGAGGGUGGAGACAUUGAGGAAGAGGGGAGAUGAAGUUAGGAAUUGUGUCAUCGCAAAUUAUAAAACCAACCAAUAUCUUCACUGUGAGAGAGGGAGAGGGGAGGAGAGGACAAGAAAGGAGAGGGAAGGAGAGGAGAAGAGACCAGAGGGGAAGGGAGGAGGAGAGAGGAGAGGGAAGGAGAGGAGAGGGGAAGAGUGGAGAAGAGAGGAGAGGGAAGGAGAGGAGAAGAAAGGAGAGGAGAAGAGAUAUGUUAAAACAUAAUUUAUAAUCUGGCAUGACCAAUAACCCCAGUCACCACCACCUUUGCAGAUAUCCUGAUGAAUCCCCCUGCACCCUCCCUCCCAAACGCACCCCGUCCCCCCACUCCCACUGCACAGCCGCACAUCCCCAUGUCCCCCAACCCCCAAGAGAGAGGAAAACUGUUCCCUUGAAAACAGAGAACAAAGUCCUCUGACCGAACAAACACAACUGGCUGCCACACACAACAUGUAAAAAAACACAUACUAUAUUUCCAGCUCUCUUUCAUUCAUUUAACAUCUCUCUCUCUCGCUCUCUCUGUGUGUGUGCGUGCAUGUGUGUGUGUGUGCGUGCAUGUGUGUGUGUGUGUGUUUUUGUGGUAACCUCAAUAUGAAAGGCAGAGUUACUAGCUCAUGUUUUAGACAGCUGUAAUUAGUUAGUUUUAAAGGGCUCUGUAUCUCUCUUCCUUUCUUUUCCAUUCUUUUUCCGAUGUAGGCCAGACAUCCGAUCACUGGACUCAGUGGCUCUGACCUCAUGAGAGGACGCGCUGAGAUGAUGGACAGACGGACAGGAAACUCAGUUGUACUUACGUAACCAUUAGAAACUCCACAGAGUACAUACAGAGUACAUAGGAGCCUUUUUCCAUCCAACAUCCAGUUACUGACGCUUUCAUUGGCUCAUCAAAAACAAUAUCAAUAUCAGUCAAGAGAUGGUCAGAUAACCCUCCAGGAAAGAGAGUAUAAAGUUAACCCGCUGAUAGAUAACUAUCCGGUGUGUUCGGAAUACCUGAGCCAGUCUGUCCCUUUAGGGAAAUAUUUUUGGAAAGGUCUUGGUCAACUGGUUGUAGCUGAAUGUUGUAUUCUUGUGGGUCAGCCUAGCAGUGGUGUAGAGUUCUUUCUGCUGUAACCUGAGACCCUCAGGCCCUUAAAUAAACACUUGAUAACAUCUCUGGACCAAGUGCCAGCACCGACAUAUGACCUGAUCUGAAAACCCUCAGUUUACACAGAGACAGACAGACUGGCAGAGGGGGUGUGAGAGAUGGAAAGAGA
Oncorhynchus tshawytscha (Chinook salmon) is the source of this 2094-nucleotide long non-coding RNA. RefSeq lists it as uncharacterized. Lineage: Eukaryota; Metazoa; Chordata; Actinopteri; Salmoniformes; Salmonidae. The transcript has 3 exons. The record is from RefSeq and is a predicted model, not a curated record.